Molecule: long non-coding RNA, 2089 nt
Organism: Choloepus didactylus (southern two-toed sloth)
Lineage: Eukaryota; Metazoa; Chordata; Mammalia; Pilosa; Megalonychidae
Exons: 7
Source: RefSeq, a predicted model, not a curated record
GAGGCCUGACGGGCGCGCGCGCGGGCAGGCAGGCACGUGGGGCCCUUUCGUCCCCGCGUCCAGGUGUCCGGCGCCAGCCUCAAUCCUUGCCGCGGCCCCGUGGUGCAGGCCCGUGAGGCGAAAGACCGAACUACAGCCCCAGUCGUCGCCCUAUUUGGGGCUAUGCUGAUUGUUUCUGGGAAGCACUAGAAACGUGGCCAUGAAAAGAAUGGCGUCCAUUUACAUAACGCUUUGUUUGCAUUUUGCAAGUUUCGGUUAAACCCGCAGAAACCCCACCUCCUGUCCUCGUGGUUUAGUUGCGGCAACCUUUUUGAGAUAUUUAAAACAAUGGUGUGCGUGUCUGGAGGCCUCAUUUACUCGGGGCAUACGACCAGUGCUUUGGGAAGUUCCUGCGGCUUUUCCCGCGCCCUUUAUGUUCCCGCUGCUGCCUUUCGGCUCUUUCCCCCCUCGGUGCAGCCGCCGCGCCCCGCUGUCUCCGGGGGCGGCCUCCAACGGGGCCCCGCCAUCUUGGGAGGCCGUUUUUGCCGAGUGGCACUGCCCGCGUUUCUCUCGCAAAGAAAAUGUCGCCCGGGACGGUGGUGUAGGAGUUGUGAUUUCUUCCCUUUUCUCUUUUGGCUGUCUAAGAUCAGAAAAGGUCUUGUGGGCAACAUGCUUCAGGAUCCCUCAGGGAAAGCGGCUAACGUGGCGCUCCCUCCGCCCCUUUCUUCCUCACGGGGGUAGCCGCCAUGUUUCCGGAACACAAAAUGGCGACACGUGGCCUGGAAUCGUCGCCAACGAGAAAUUGAGACCGACCCGAAAGCUCUAGAAUGUGUCUUCCCCACCCCGUCCUAGUCCGAAGGUCGGGGGAGGGGGGAGACGGAUUUUAAUGCAUUUCCCCUUUUCAUUUGAAACGGAUGAAGACACUUAGGUCCAGAGAGAUGAAGUGACUAAUCCAUGGUAACCCAAUGUCAGGGGCAUGGAUUCCAGACCCGAUUUCCUUACUGACUUGCACUAUCUUGUGGAUAUGUGAGUGAAUUCCACACCACCCGUUUUACAGAUGAAGCCUCUGAGAUAUGGAGCAACUGACUGGUAAUAGUCACUGCCCCACCCCUGGAGCCUCACACAUGACUCUUCUGCCACUCGUGUGAUUGCAAGUUGGUUAAGGGGUUUAACAAGUUUGGGAAAGGUCUUGUCACUGAAACAUCGUGGUUAAGAGUGUGACCCCGGAGCCAUCCUGCUGGAGCCUGAAUUCUGACCCAACCACUUAUUAACUGUGUGACUCUGGUCUUGAAGAGGAAUUGCUACACGCUGCCAUGUGCCUUCCCGUGUGGCAGAGGAGCCCAGCGGCCGGCAGCCUGCUGCAGAGUCCAGUUUCAACAACCGUAAAAUGGGAGUUCAUAAGCGCACCUGCCUCACGGGUUGUCACGAAGGUUGCAUGAGACGGGCCACGUAAGUGCACGAGGUCUCAAAGUUGCCCAGGUCCCCUAAAGGAGAGGAGCUUAAAGCCUUAUGGAUCAGCACCACAGGCAGCACAUGUGGUUAGGGACAACGUCUUAGCUUCCGGCAUCCCUUCACCCCACCACGCUCUCACCCACACUCAGCCCUGGUAAAUGGUUUCCUUCAACCCUGGCUUUCUUCAGGCCCUUGCAGUUACUCUUUGGUAAGAAUUUUAGCCAAUCCAGUACCUCUUCAGAGACAUUUGCAUUUCGAAUGACAGGUGGAGUCGAAGGUCUUGGAAUGAAUUAUUCGUUUGCUCAUUCUAGAACAAUGCUAUCUAAUCGUACUUUCUGAGACGAGGGAAAUGUUCUCAAUCUCUGCUGUCCAAUAUGGUAGCCACCAGUCACACGAGACUACCGAGCCCCUGAAAUGUGGCUACUGUGACUGAGGGACUGAAUUUUUAAUUUAAAUUGACAAAUGAAAAAACAGACACUGUUGCUUUGCAUUCCUGAGAUCAGUUAGAUAAGGACACUAGCCCUGAGUGUCCCCCAAAGGUAGCUUUUUUAAAAUGCAAUUUUAUUGAGAUAUAAUCACAUAACAUACAGUCAUUCAAAGUGUACAAUCAGUAUCGUCAUAUAGUUGUGCUUUCAUCACCACAAACUUUGAACAUUUU